GCCUCUCUGGUGGAAUGGUAGACACGAGAGAUUCAAAAUCUCUUGCUCGCAAGGGCGUCCCGGUUCGAGUCCGGGGAGAGGCA
Molecule: non-coding RNA, 83 nt
Organism: Shimia sp. SK013
Lineage: Bacteria; Pseudomonadati; Pseudomonadota; Alphaproteobacteria; Rhodobacterales; Roseobacteraceae
Source: Rfam